RNAcentral lists this long non-coding RNA (1218 nucleotides) under Anolis carolinensis (green anole). Its description in RNAcentral is "lncRNA (ENSACAG00000043377.1)". Lineage: Eukaryota; Metazoa; Chordata; Lepidosauria; Squamata; Anolidae. The record is from RNAcentral.
AUGACCAGAACAUCUAGAAAUGGCAGUUUUCCUUCCUUUUCUUUUUCCAUGGUGAAUUGGAUGUUUGGGUGGAUGCUGUUAAGAUGGUCCAGGAACUUGCUGAGUUCUUCCUCUCCAUGGCUCCAAAUCGUGAAGGUGUCAUCUACGUAUCUGAACCAAACAGCACCAAAAAAGCCAACUGUUUGGUUCAGAUACGUAGAUGACACCUUCACAAUUUGGAGCCAUGGAGAGGAAGAACUCAGCAAGUUCCUGGACCAUCUUAACAGCAUCCACCCAAACAUCCAAUUCACCAUGGAAAAAGAAAAGGAAGGAAAACUGCCAUUUCUAGAUGUUCUGGUCAUCCGCAAACCCAAUCAACAAUUGGGCCACACAGUUUACAGAAAACCUACACACACAGAUAGAUACCUUCAUAAAAACUCCAACCAUCACCCAAGUCAAAAAAGGAGCACAAUCAAAGCCCUGACAGACCGUGCACAAAGAAUCUGCGAACCUCACCUCCUCCAAGGUGAACUCAACCACCUAAACUGGGCUCUACAGGCCAAUGGAUACUCCACCACAGACAUCAGAAGAGCUGCAAGGCCAAGAACAAGCCAUGAGAGUCAAGACAAAGAUCCACCCAGAGGAAAGGUGUUCUUACCAUACAUCAAGGGAACUACUGACCGCAUAGGGAAGCUGAUGAAGAAGCACAACCUACAAACUAUCUACAGACCCACGAAGAAAAUCCAACAAAUGCUACGGUCAGCGAAGGACAAGAGGGAUCCUCUCUCUUCUGCAGGAGUCUACUGGAUACCAUGCAGCUGUGGACAAGUCUACAUAGGGACCACCAAACGCAGCGCCCAAACAAGAGUCAAAGAACAUGAAAGGCACUGCAGACUAAUUCAACCAGAGAAAUCAGCCAUAGCAGAGCAUUUGAUGAACCAGCCUGGACACAGAAUACUAUUUGAGAACACAAAAAUGCUGGACCAUUCUAACAACUAUCAUGUCAGACUACACAGAGAAGCCAUUGAAAUCCACAAGCAUGUGGACAACUUCAACAGAAAGGAAGAAACCAUGAAAAUGAACAAAAUCUGGCUACCAGUAUUAAAAAACUCAAGAAUCAGAACAGUAAAUAAAAAGCAAUACUCUGAAAACAGAGGAUUUCCAGACAUGAAUCAACCUAGGGCAGUUAACGACUCUAAACAAAGGAUGCCCCAGAGGCAGGAAGAAGACAGCAGAUAA